This 260-nucleotide ribosomal RNA is filed under the name uncultured bacterium. Its description in RNAcentral is "partial 16S ribosomal RNA". It matches the Rfam family "Bacterial small subunit ribosomal RNA", at positions 28 to 285 of the family's 1533-position model. The record is from RNAcentral.
GACGAACGCUGGCGGCGUGCUUAACACAUGCAAGUCGAGCGGUAAGGCCCUUUCGGGGGUACGACGAGCGGCGAACGGGUGAGUAACACGUGGGUGACCUGCCUUUAGUCUCUGGGAGUAAGCCUGGGAAACGUGGGUCUAAUACCGGAUAUGACCCUAUGGCGCAUGUUGUGGGGUGGAAAGCCUUGUGCGGCUAGGGAUGGGCCCGCGGCCUAUCAGCUUGUUGGUGGGGUGAUGGCCUACCAAGGCGACGACGGGUA